GAUGAACGCUGGCGGCGUGCCUAAUACAUGCAAGUCGAGCGAACAGACGAGGAGCUUGUUCCUCUGACGUUAGCGGCGGACGGGUGAGUAACACGUGGAUAACCUACCUAUAAGACUGGGAUAACUUCGGGAAACCGGAGCUAAUACCGGAUAAUAUAUUGAACCGCAUGGUUCAAUAGUGAAAGACGGUUUUGCUGUCACUUAUAGAUGGAUCCGCGCCGCAUUAGCUAGUUGGUAAGGUAACGGCUUACCAAGGCAACGAUGCGUAGCCGACCUGAGAGGGUGAUCGGCCACACUGGAACUGAGACACGGUCCAGACUCCUACGGGAGGCAGCAGUAGGGAAUCUUCCGCAAUGGGCGAAAGCUUGACGGAGCAACGCCGCGUGAGUGAUGAAGGUCUUCGGAUCGUAAAACUCUGUUAUUAGGGAAGAACAAAUGUGUAAGUAACUAUGCACGUCUUGACGGUACCUAAUCAGAAAGCCACGGCUAACUACGUG
This 497-nucleotide ribosomal RNA is filed under the name uncultured bacterium. RNAcentral describes it as "partial 16S ribosomal RNA". It matches the Rfam family "Bacterial small subunit ribosomal RNA", at positions 28 to 507 of the family's 1533-position model. The record is from RNAcentral.